UCACAGUUUGCACUGGCAGUCUUGUUAGAGUUCCCGACAUGACUCGCUGGCAACUAACAACAGGGGUUGCGCUCGUUAUAGGACUUAACCUGACACCUCACGGCACGAGCUGACGACAACCAUGCAGCACCUUGUAAAUUGUCUUGCGAAAAGUCUGUUUCCAAACCGGUCAAUCUACAUUUAAGCCUUGGUAAGGUUCCUCGCGUAUCAUCGAAUUAAACCACAUGCUCCACCGCUUGUGCGGGCCCCCGUCAAUUCCUUUGAGUUUCAUUCUUGCGAACGUACUCCCCAGGUGGGAAGCUUAAUGCGUUAGCUGCGCCACUGAACUUGCGCCCAACAGCUAGUAUCCAUCGUUUACGGCGUGGACUAC
RNAcentral lists this unclassified non-coding RNA (370 nucleotides) under uncultured Flavobacteriaceae bacterium. RNAcentral describes it as "contains 16S-23S intergenic spacer region". The record is from RNAcentral. Lineage: Bacteria; Pseudomonadati; Bacteroidota; Flavobacteriia; Flavobacteriales; Flavobacteriaceae.